AAUGUUUGACGCCGUUGACUUUUUUAACACAUGUUUGACCGUUCGUCUUAUUCAAAAAAAUUAUGAAAUAAUUAAUUUUUUUCUAUCAUUUGAUUCAUUGUUAAAUAAACUUUUAUGCGCACAUAUAAUUUUAUAUAUUUCAUAAAGGUUUUUAAAUAAGACGAACGAUCAAACGUGUGUCAAAAAGUCAACGGCAUCAAACAUU
RNAcentral lists this microRNA precursor (205 nucleotides) under Leersia perrieri. Its description in RNAcentral is "MIR812 microRNA precursor family". It matches the Rfam family "MIR812 microRNA precursor family". The record is from Rfam by way of RNAcentral. Lineage: Eukaryota; Viridiplantae; Streptophyta; Magnoliopsida; Poales; Poaceae.